GAUCAUGGCUCAGGAUGAACGCUGGCGGCGUGCCUAAUACAUGCAAGUCGAACGCUGGAGAUCUAGCUUGCUAGAUCGAAGGAGUGGCGAACGGGUGAGUAAUACAUAAGCAACCUACCCACGAAGACUGGGAUAAUCUCUGGGAACGGGGACUAAUACCGGAUAGGUAAUCGGAAGGCAUCUUCUGAUUAUUAAAGGCUAAAAACACUGGUGGAUGGGCUUAUGGCGCAUUAGUUAGUUGG
This 242-nucleotide ribosomal RNA is filed under the name uncultured bacterium. RNAcentral's name for it is "partial 16S ribosomal RNA". It matches the Rfam family "Bacterial small subunit ribosomal RNA", at positions 15 to 252 of the family's 1533-position model. The record is from RNAcentral.